RNAcentral lists this ribosomal RNA (464 nucleotides) under uncultured bacterium. RNAcentral's name for it is "partial 16S ribosomal RNA". It matches the Rfam family "Bacterial small subunit ribosomal RNA", at positions 339 to 795 of the family's 1533-position model. The record is from RNAcentral.
CUACGGGACGCAGCAGUGGGGAAUAUUGGACAAUGGGGGAAACCCUGAUCCAGCAAUGCCGCGUGUGUGAAGAAGGCCUGCGGGUUGUAAAGCACUUUCGGUUGGGAGGACUGCUUCUAGCACUAAUAUUGUUGGAAGUUGACGUUACCUUCAGAAGAAGCACCGGCUACUCCGUGCCAGCAGCCGCGGUAAUACGGAGGGUGCAAGCGUUAAUCGGAAUUACUGGGCGUAAAGCGCGCGUAGGCGGCUAGAUCAGUCGGGUGUGAAAGCCCCGGGCUUAACCUGGGAACUGCAUCCGAUACUGUCUAGCUUGAGUACAGGAGAGGAGAGUGGAAUUCCACAUGUAGCGGUGAAAUGCGUAGAUAUGUGGAGGAACACCAAUGGCGAAGGCAGCUCUCUGGCCUGAUACUGACGCUGAGGUGCGAAAGCGUGGGGAGCAACCAGGAUUAGAUACCCCUGUAGUC